This is a long non-coding RNA of Lolium perenne, 746 nucleotides long. RefSeq lists it as uncharacterized. The record is from RefSeq and is a predicted model, not a curated record. NCBI's taxonomy places the organism in Eukaryota, Viridiplantae, Streptophyta, Magnoliopsida, Poales, Poaceae.
UUGAAACAAAACUUUUCGGUUUAUCUAAAACCCUUGACCAACUCUUUUUAGUAGAGGUGGGCAACCUUUGUUUUAUGCUUGCAAAACAAAACCUCUGCAACCUAACAUUAGCUCUUUUGUUUUGCUUAAGUUUCCAAAUGAUGUGGAAUAUGGUUUGCUUCCUAUUUUGGUUGUAGUGUUAUGGGAACAAAUUAAGUUAGGAAAACUGUUUUCUACUUUUCCAAAAAUGUUUGAAAAUGCUUUGUGAAUGUAUUUGAUGUCAAACUAAUGCACUUGUCCUCUUUAGGAUGUUAUCUACCAGGGGAUAUUUGGUUUAUACCAUGGUGAUACCCGAGAGAGGCAAUUGCUAAGUUGUGAUGCACUCAUACCUUUACUAGAUGCGAACAAUUCCGGAGAAGAAGAAGUGGAAUCGGACGAGGAUUUUAUUUAUAUUGUUGGGAUUCUUAUAUUUAUGGAGUUGAAGAAGUCCAGGGACAAAUAAGCCAAGGCAAGCCAUCUUUUGAUCUCUGAUUUGGUGUCUAGUUGGAUGUCAUUUGUUGAUGUCCAAAGCACCUUAAUUCUAUGUGUGUUACUCUCUCUAUUUAUGUCAUCUAUGUGUGAUUUCAAGUGGGGAACUCCCUAGUGGUGAUACUCCACUAUUGUCUUUGUGAUUAUGGGAUGCAUGGUAUCAUGGCCGUGCUAUUUCACUUGGUUAUCUUGUAUGCUCAACUUGAGCAUGUUCCAUCUCAAGAUAGUAACUUACACCA